UCUCGGCCAGAACAUCGGCAUGAGGUGGAACAACGUACGCAACUCUGCAGGGGACUGCAGGUGCCCAGAUGCUUAGCUGGGCUGCAUCAUGGAAGACACAGGAUACUAUCUACCCAGAAAGUUUUCUCGCUGCAGCGUUGAUGAGUACAUCCAGUUCUUGCUCCAGGGGG
This is a long non-coding RNA of Etheostoma spectabile (orangethroat darter), 170 nucleotides long. RefSeq lists it as uncharacterized. The transcript has 3 exons. The record is from RefSeq and is a predicted model, not a curated record. NCBI's taxonomy places the organism in Eukaryota, Metazoa, Chordata, Actinopteri, Perciformes, Percidae.